Non-coding RNA from Mycena galericulata, 90 nucleotides. NCBI's taxonomy places the organism in Eukaryota, Fungi, Basidiomycota, Agaricomycetes, Agaricales, Mycenaceae. The record is from the annotation of a GenBank genome assembly.
GACCCAGUGGUGGGCGGUACCGCACCUGCAUCUCGUGCUAUGGCAUGGAAUAUACUGCGCAGGUUUCUGGUUCGAAUCCAGGCUGGGUCG